UGGGGAAUAUUGCACAAUGGGCGCAAGCCUGAUGCAGCCAUGCCGCGUGUGUGAAGAAGGCCUUCGGGUUGUAAAGCACUUUCAGCGAGGAGGAAGGUGGUGAACUUAAUACGUUCAUCAAUUGACGUUACUCGCAGAAGAAGCACCGGCUAACUCCGUGCCAGCAGCCGCGGUAAUACGGAGGGUGCAAGCGUUAAUCGGAAUUACUGGGCGUAAAGCGCACGCAGGCGGUUUGUUAAGUCAGAUGUGAAAUCCCCGGGCUCAACCUGGGAACUGCAUUUGAAACUGGCAAGCUAGAGUCUCGUAGAGGGGGGUAGAAUUCCAGGUGUAGCGGUGAAAUGCGUAGAGAUCUGGAGGAAUACCGGUGGCGAAGGCGGCCCCCCUGGACGAAGACUGACGCUCAGGUGCGAAAGGCGUGGGGAGCAAAACAGGAUUAGAUACCCCUGGUAGUCCACGCUGUAAACGAUGUCGAUUUGGAGGUUGUGCCCUUGAGGCGUGGCUUCCGGAGCUAACGNGUUAAAUCGACCGCC
RNAcentral lists this ribosomal RNA (530 nucleotides) under uncultured bacterium. RNAcentral's name for it is "partial 16S ribosomal RNA". It matches the Rfam family "Bacterial small subunit ribosomal RNA", at positions 355 to 873 of the family's 1533-position model. The record is from RNAcentral.